GUGGCCGUUAGCUCAGUUGGUUAGAGCGUGGUGCUAAUAACGCCAAGGUCGCGGGUUCGAUCCCCGUACUGGCCACU
Balaenoptera ricei (Rice's whale) is the source of this 77-nucleotide non-coding RNA. NCBI's taxonomy places the organism in Eukaryota, Metazoa, Chordata, Mammalia, Artiodactyla, Balaenopteridae. The record is from the annotation of a RefSeq genome assembly.